RNAcentral lists this ribosomal RNA (809 nucleotides) under Clostridium perfringens. RNAcentral describes it as "partial 23S ribosomal RNA". It matches the Rfam family "Bacterial large subunit ribosomal RNA", at positions 417 to 1228 of the family's 2925-position model. The record is from RNAcentral. Lineage: Bacteria; Bacillati; Bacillota; Clostridia; Eubacteriales; Clostridiaceae.
ACGAGACACGUGAAACCUUGUGGGAAGCAGGGAGGACCACCUCCCAAGGCUAAAUACUACCUGAUGACCGAUAGUGAAGCAGUACCGUGAGGGAAAGGUGAAAAGAACCCCGGGAGGGGAGUGAAAUAGAACCUGAAACCGUGUGCCUACAACCGCUCAGAGCCCCUUAUGAGGGUGAUGAGGUGCUUUUUGUAGAACGAGCCAACGAGUUACGGUAUGUAGCAAGGUUAAGUACUUAAGGUACGGAGCCGAAGGGAAACCGAGUCUGAAUAGGGCGACUAGUUGCAUGCCGUAGACCCGAAACCGGGUGACCUAUCCAUGGCCAGGUUGAAGCGAGGGUAAAACCUCGUGGAGGACCGAACCACGUUGCUGUUGAAAAAGCAUGGGAUGAGCUGUGGAUAGCGGAGAAAUUCCAAUCGAACCCGGAGAUAGCUGGUUCUCUCCGAAAUAGCUUUAGGGCUAGCGUCGAGUAUGAGUAGUGGAGGUAGAGCACUGAAUGGGCUAGGGGGCAUAGCGCUUACCGAACCUUAUCAAACUCCGAAUGCCACAUACUUUGAGCUCGGCAGUCAGACUACGAAUGAUAAGAUCCGUGGUCAAAAGGGAAACAGCCCAGAUCGUCAGCUAAGGUCCCAAAGUGUAAGUUAAGUGGGAAAGGAUGUGAGAUUUCUAAGACAACUAGGAUGUUGGCUUAGAAGCAGCCAUUCAUUAAAAGAGUGCGUAAUAGCUCACUAGUCGAGAGAUCUUGCGCCGAAAAUGUAACGGGGCUAAACUUACCACCGAAGCUACGGGCUUGAACUUAGUUCAAGCGG